Molecule: ribosomal RNA, 387 nt
Filed under: uncultured Glomeromycotina
Lineage: Eukaryota; Fungi; Glomeromycota
Description: SSU rRNA
Rfam family: Eukaryotic small subunit ribosomal RNA
Source: RNAcentral
AGCAGCCGCGGUAAUUCCAGCUCCAAUAGCGUAUAUUAAAGUUGUUGCAGUUAAAAAGCUCGUAGUUGAAUUUCGGGAUUAGUACGUUGGUCGUGCCUUCGGUACGUACUGGUGUUACUGAUUCCUACCUUCUGACGGACCGUCAUGUCAUUAAUUUGAUGUGGCGGGGAAUCAGGACUGUUACUUUGAAAAGAUUAGAGUGUUUAAAGCAGGCUCGCGCUUGAAUACAUUAGCAUGGAAUAAUGAAAUAGGACGUUCGAUCCUAUUUUGUUGGUUUCUAGGAUUGACGUAAUGAUUAAUAGGGAUAGUUGGGGGCAUUAGUAUUCAAUUGUCAGAGGUGAAAUUCUUGGAUUUAUUGAAGACUAACUACUGCGAAAGCAUUUGCCA